This 443-nucleotide ribosomal RNA is filed under the name uncultured bacterium. RNAcentral describes it as "partial 16S ribosomal RNA". It matches the Rfam family "Bacterial small subunit ribosomal RNA", at positions 338 to 795 of the family's 1533-position model. The record is from RNAcentral.
CCUACGGGUGGCAGCAGUGGGGAAUAUUGGACAAUGGGGGGAACCCUGAUCCAGCGACGCCGCGUGAGUGAAGAGGUAUUUCGGUAUGUAAAGCUCUAUCAGCAGGGAAGAAAGGAAUGACGGUACCUGACUAAGAAGCCCCGGCUAACUACGUGCCAGCAGCCGCGGUAAUACGUAGGGGGCAAGCGUUAUCCGGAUUUACUGGGUGUAAGGGGAGCGUAGGCGGUUUAGCAAGUCAGAAGUGAAAGCCCGGGGCUCAACUCCGGGACUGCAUUUGAAACUGUUUAACUAGAGUGCAGGAGAGGUAAGUGGAAUUCCUAGUGUAGCGGUGAAAUGCGUAGAUAUUAGGAGGAACACCAAUGGCGAAGGCGGCUUACUGGACUGUAAAUGACGCUGAGGCUCGAAAGCGUGGGGAGCAAACAGGAUUAGAUACCCUUGUAGUC